GGACUAUGUAAUUAAUCCUCUUAUUCUUCGUCCCUCCCCACCCCCCGCUGCUUCCAUGUCUACUUCCUGGGAAACUGGGGUACUGGGGUUUGUGAAUAUAAAAGAAGAGCCAGGGAGUGGAAGAAUCUAACUUGGUGUUUUGUUUUGCUCCCAAACUAAGUUUCCUGGAUUUGGACUGUUAUGGAUGAUGAUAAUGAUCAUGGAUAUGGAAUGACAACUCUAAAGUGCUCCUAGUCUGGCCCAGAGGAUGGGAGGUGUUCUAGGGUGUUACAUGUUGGACAAGAAAGAAACUGCUGAGCCACCUGGAAAUGAUUCUGGACAUAUGGUGUGAGUAAGACAUGGGAGCACUGGUAAAAGGGUGACAUUAUUGCUGUGGGGACUAAUACUGAGCAUAUGGCUAUAGCAGCACAACAACAAUCUUGGCUGCUGGGGAGACUUGGGGUUAGCCAGGAAUAAUUAAUCUCUCUCAGUUCUUGUCUACAGAGCAGCUGGCCAAUUUAUUUUAUUAUUUUAAAAAUAUGUUUAUUUAUUUUGAGACAGUAUGUUGCGUGUGUGCACAUGAGCAGGGGAGGGGCAGAGAGAGAGAGAGAGAGAGAGAGGGAAUCCCAAGAAGGUUCUGCACUGUCAGCACAGAGCCCCAGGAGGGGCUCUAUCUCAUGAACUAUGAGAUCAUGACCUGAGCUGGAAUCAAGAGUCAGACGCUUAACUGGCUAAGCCACCCAGGCACCCCAUAUCUGGCCAAUUUAAUGGAGAUGGCCACUACCAGCCUCAACGUGAUGGAUGGCCAGUGGGAAAUAUUAAUCUAAGAACUUUCAGAAACGUCCCAGUAGCUUCUGACUCCAGGAGUUAACAGUCUGCACUCAAGACAACAGAAUAAGAUCAACUUUCUGGACAUUGAUUGGAUUUCCUUUAACCUCAUCCUAUUUACAUACUAUUGCACCUGCUCUGAAUUUAACUGAUUGUUGAAUCUACAUUGCCUAUUAGGAUAUCUGGUGGGGUGGCCUAUAUUGUAAAAAGAGCUUGGUUGGUGAUGUGAAAGGUUAGGAGGUAGAGUUAUAUGGUAACUGCUCCGUGCAAGUGUCCUUUUGUGUAUUCAUUCAGACAAGACCAUAGACAAGGCUUAUGCUCAGUUCAUUUAAGUUUUGGUAGAGUGCCCCGUAACAGGAGAGAAUGGCAGGCUUGUGAGGAACAUGGCCAUUUCUUACCCACCUCUUUAUCUUCCCUUGAGGCUGUGAUGAGACAAUUUCUCAUUACCUUCCAGGUUCUAGUGAGAUAUAAGUGUUUCUGCCUCGAAAUUCCCCUCUUCCCCCUACUUUAGGGUAGAUGUAUGCUAUAGGGUAUAGACAUAUACUAUAAUACUCCAAACUGCUGAGUAUGACAUUGGCUUAUCGGAAACAGAGCUCCCCAUUGCCCAUGUUGCAUUGUUAUCUGACGUCUUCUGUUUUGGCAUCCGAUGGGGCAAGGGACACAGUGAAUUGGCACCUUUGCUGAUCUUAGUAUUGUUGUCUGUGUAAGAAACUACCUUAUCUAAACAGGCUCAUUUUUCUUUACCAGGUGAAUCUCUCAGCCUUGCUUGACAGCAAUCAUGACAAAUGCUCUGGACUCACCCAUAUGCACUUGUGUGAGAGAAAAGGUCCAAGGCCCAAGAGGUGUGGCCUGCUUCCUCCUCCCAAUUCAGUUUAAAGACUAGUUAUAGUUGAGUAAUGUCAGAAAAGUGAUUAGAAUUAGUUUUGGUUUUUAUUACUACAAAAAAUUUGUAUGUUUAAAAGUAAGGUGUGCUCAUGAUGACUUUUUAACAGACCAAUUCUUGGUUCCAGUUUUUGAAACUGCCCACUGGUUUGUAUCUGGAGAAUAAUCUGGGACAUCUUAGUGUUUAACUUUUCUUUUUUGGCAGUGUGUCCGGUGUCUUGUUGUCGUUUUUAAAUCUUGUUUUUUCAUUCAUUAACCAGUGAGCAGACUUAGAGGACAGAUUGAUUCUACUUCCUAGAUUUAGUUUAGAAAACAUAGGCUUCACCUGAUGCUCUUAAGAAAGCAUAUUGCAAAUGCCUCAUUUAAUAACAUACUCUACUUUUUGAAAUUUGCCUUUUCUCUCCACCCUUGGAUAGGUCCAGUAUUUGAUGAAACUCAUGAAAGUGAGUGGAACCUGACUUGUCCCUCUUUUCUAGGAUACAAUGCAUAUAUGAUUGUGACUUUUAUUUUAUUUUAUUUUAUUUUUAAAUUUUUUUUUCCAACGUUUAUUUAUUUUUGGGACAGAGAGAGACAGAGCAUGAACGGGGGAGAGGCAGAGAGAGAGGGAGACACAGAAUCGGAAACAGGCUCCAGGCUCUGAGCCAUCAGCCCAGAGCCCGACGCGGGGCUCGAACUCACGGACCGCGAGAUCGUGACCUGACUGAAGUCGGACGCUUAACCGACUGCGCCACCCAGGCGCCCCUGAUUGUGACUUUUAAAGUAAUUUGUUUGCUAUUUCCUUAUUUAUUUGAAGUUAAUUUCUAACUUUUUAAAUUUAUAAUGAAGAAAAAUAUUACAUCUUUUGAAAUAUACUCAAGGAAUUGAGUUUGUAAUUUGAACAAUUUUCAUUGUUGGUGCCCUUGAGUGGCUCAGUGGGUUGUGAGCCCAACUCUUGAUUUCAGCUCAGGUUGUGAUCUAAUGUUUGUGAGACUGAGCCCUGCGUUGGGCUCUGCGCUGACAGCAUGGAGCCUGCUUGGGAUUCUCUCUCUCCUCAGCUCCCUGCCCCUCCCCCACUCACUUUCUCUCAAAAAUCAAUAAACUUAAAAAAAAUAAAGAAUUUUAUCCUAUUAAAAAAAAUAUUUGGUGGCACCUGGGUAGCUCAGUUGGUUAAGCGUCCAAGUCUUGAUUUUGGCUAAGGUCCUGAUCUUGUUUUGUGAGUUCAAGACCUGCACGGGGCCCUGAACAGGCAGCACAGAGCCUGAUUGGGAUUCUCUCUCUCCCUCUGUCUCUCUGCCCCAUUCUCACUCAUGAUGUCUUUGUCUCUCUCAAAAUAAAUACAUAAAACUUAAAAAAAUUUUUUUAAAGUUUCAUUGUCAAAAAAAAGUAAGUGUAGCAACCAUUCUAUAGUUCCAAUAUGUAAGUGUAUGCAUAUAUAUGUAUACUAGAAUUCUGGGAGAACACAGAAGAAACUAGUAAUAGAGGUGAAGGAAUUGAUUGGUGAUGUUGAAAUGGGAACUGGGUACACAUAGCAAGACUGUAGAGUUCAGAGGAAACAACCAGACUAUAUAUUGCCCAUGUAUAUCAUUUUUUUAAAAUUUUUUAACGUUUAUUUAUUUUUGAGACAGAGAGAGGCAGAGCAUGAACGGGGGAGGGUCAGAGAGAGAGAGGGAGACACAGAAUCUGAAACAGGCUCCAGGCCCUGAGCAGUCAGCACAGAGCCCGACGCGGGGCUCGAACUCAUGGACCGCAAGAUCAUGACCUGAGCCGAAGUCGGACGGUUAACCGACUGAGCCACCCAGGCGCCCCUCCAUGUAUAUCAUUUUAUAGUUUUUAACAUGAUAAUACCUGUUGAAUACUUAAUUUAAAAUUAAAAUAGAUUAUAUUAUUUUUAUAAUUUGAUAAAUAUCUAUUUCCUUAGAAAGUUUUGAGAAUUUCUUUAUGAUGGCUCAUCUAAAUAAGUUUGUAAGAUAGCAUUCAAGUUAAUUAAGAAGGCAUCAGACCAAUUUAUUUAUUUAUUUUUAUUUAAAAUUCUUUUUUUCAUUUUUAGAUAGCAUGAGAUAGAAAGUAGGCAGAGGGGGAGAGAGAGAGAGAGACUUUUUUUUUUUUUUAAUAUUUAUUUUUGAGAGAGGGCAUGCACGCAUUAGCGGGGAAUGGGCAGAGAGAGGGGGACAGAGGAUCCAAAGCAGGCUCUGCUCUGGCAGCAGCAAGUUCAAUGUCAAUGUCGGAUGUUCAACAGACUGAAUGUCCUGGUGCCCAAAGAGAGAGAGACAGAGAGAGAAAAGAAAGAGAGAGAGAGAGAGAGAGAGAUAAUCUUCAGCAGGCUGCACACUAAGCGUGGAGCCCACCACUCUAGGAUCAUGACCUGAGAUGAAAUCUAGAAUUAGACACUCAACCAACUGAGCCACCCAGGUAUCCCUACACCAGUUUAUAACAAGUACAAGUAAUGUAAUAUGAACAUGGGCCUUAACUAAAUACAGCUCACUUGGUUUGGGAGCAUAAUUUGUUCCAGAAACAGUCUUAUAAUCCAAAGCACUUGUAUAUUAAUGUGAAUUUCCCCAUAAGAAAUAAUGAAAACUCAGAUUCGUUUCACAACCCAAAAAUAUUCAUAUAAAAUUAUUAUAAUAUUGUCAUAUAACAUAAAAUGAUAAAGAAAAUACAAAAUAUAAAGAAAAAUAAACAAAUUAACCUGCACUUAUGUUUGAAAACCUUUGUGGCUGGUGUGAGAGAGACUAGAGAGAGGAGGGUAAUUAUGUAGGACAACUUUCACUAUCACUGAAGGAAUCAUUGCUAUCUAUUGGGUCAAUGGAUCUUUUUCUUUUUGUACAACUUUAACAAGGAACCUAUCCAAUAACACUUGCUUUGGCUCCUUUUGAGGAUUUUGCAGAAAUGUGACAUUGCAUUGUCGUUAAACAGAUUCAUCGCUUGCACUGUUACAGCCUUAUUGGGUAGUGCUUUUCUACAAAAUUUUGCACUGUUUCCCACAUUUUACACAUCUCCCUAAUCUCAUUUGAAGUGAGGGAUUCCUCCACCUUUAUCUCCUCCUCUGCAGAUGAGAUCUCCUCUGUAACCUCUUGCUGUUGCUCGCAAUGCAGAUCCAUCAGUUUGUUGGUGGUCAGCUCCUGGCCAUGUUCCUCCACCAGCUUUUCAAUGUUGUCCUCAUUCACCUCCAGUCCCAUGGUCUUCCCCAAGGACACAAUUUCAUUGACAACUGGCAGCUCCUGUUCAUGAGCAAGCCCCUCUAAGUUAUGUCCAAGAAUGCAAUCAGGCCAGUUUUCUCCAAGCAGAAUUCAGGGUUCUCUUGGUGACCCCAUCCUAGGUUUUAUCAGUGAACUUGAGGCAGUUUCUAAUAUGGAAAUAAUUUUUCCAAAACCCUUGGAGGGUAAGGUUUUUUUCCUUCAGUCACCUCGAAGAAUCGCUGAAAUAGUGCUUUGUUUUAAAGCUUUUUGAAACUCAAAAUGACCUGCUGAUCCAUGGGCUGGAGGAUUGGAGUGAUGUUGGGAGGAAGGAAUUUGAGCUUAAUGAGCUCGAAUUCCUCCAGUAAGUCAGCCUCAAAGCCUGGAGGAUGAGCAAGAGCAUUAUCCAUAACCAGCAAGGCUUUGAGUGGCCGACUCUUUUCUAAAAGCUAUUUCUUCCCUGCAGGAUCGAAGACCUCAUUGAUCCACUUAACAAACAAGAUAUGAGUAACCCAAGCUUUGCUGUUGGACCUCCACAUAACGUUUAACUGGCUCUUCUGCACCUUGCAUUUCUUGAAGGCUCAUGGAUUCCCGGAAUGAUACACAAGCAAAGGCUUGACUUUGAAAUCCCCACUUGCAUUAGCAUAACACAUGAGGGUGAGAUGGUCUUUCAUGGAUUUGUGAC
RNAcentral lists this long non-coding RNA (5526 nucleotides) under Lynx pardinus (Iberian lynx). The record is from RNAcentral. Lineage: Eukaryota; Metazoa; Chordata; Mammalia; Carnivora; Felidae.